This 253-nucleotide ribosomal RNA is filed under the name uncultured bacterium. RNAcentral's name for it is "partial 16S ribosomal RNA". It matches the Rfam family "Bacterial small subunit ribosomal RNA", at positions 524 to 776 of the family's 1533-position model. The record is from RNAcentral.
UACGAAGGGGGCUGGCGUUGCUCGGAAUCACUGGGCGUAAAGGGUGCGUAGGCGGGUUUUUAAGUCAGAGGUGAAAUCCUGGAGCUCAACUCCAGAACUGCCUUUGAUACUGAAAGUCUUGAGUAUGGGAGAGGUGAGUGGAACUGCGAGUGUAGAGGUGAAAUUCGUAGAUAUUCGCAAGAACACCAGUGGCGAAGGCGGCUCACUGGCCCAUAACUGACGCUGAGGCACGAAAGCGUGGGGAGCAAACAGG